This 482-nucleotide ribosomal RNA is filed under the name uncultured bacterium. Its description in RNAcentral is "partial 16S ribosomal RNA". It matches the Rfam family "Bacterial small subunit ribosomal RNA", at positions 30 to 507 of the family's 1533-position model. The record is from RNAcentral.
AUUGAACGCUGGCGGCAUGCCUUACACAUGCAAGUCGAACGGUAACAGGUCUUCGGAUGCUGACGAGUGGCGAACGGGUGCGUAAUACAUCGGAACGUGCCCGAUCGUGGUGGAUAACGAGGCGAAAGCUUUGCUAAUACCCCAUACGAUCUACGGCUGCAAGCGGGGGAUCUUCGGACCUCGCCCGAACUUGCCCGCCGAUGGCAGAUUAGGUAGUUGGUGGGAUAAAAGCUUACCAAGCCGACGAUCUGUAGCUGGUCUGAGAGGAUGAUCAGCCACACUGGGACUGAGACACGGCCCAGACUCCUACGGGAGGCAGCAGUGGGGAAUUUUGGACAAUGGGCGAAAGCCUGAUCCAGCCAUGCCGCGUGCAGGAUGAAGGCCUUCGGGUUGUAAACUGCUUUUGUACGGAACGAAAAGCCUCUUUCUAAUAAAGAGGGGUCAUGACGGUACCGUAAGAAUAAGCACCGGCUAACUACGUG